UGCAAGUCGAGCGGUAAGGCCCUUUCGGGGGUACACGAGCGGCGAACGGGUGAGUAACACGUGGGUGACCUGCCUUCAGCUCUGGGAUAAGCCUGGGAAACUGGGUCUAAUACCGGAUAUGACUCCAUGAUGCAUGUUGUGGGGUGGAAAGCUUUUGCGGCUGGAGAUGGGCCCGCGGCCUAUCAGCUUGUUGGUGGGGUGAUGGCCUACCAAGGCGACGACGGGUAGCCGGCCUGAGAGGGCGACCGGCCACACUGGGACUGAGACACGGCCCAGACUCCUACGGGAGGCAGCAGUGGGGAAUAUUGGACAAUGGGGGAAACCCUGAUCCAGCGACGCCGCGUGGGUGAUGAAGGCCUUCGGGUCGUAAAGCCCUGUCUGGGGGGACGAAUCCCCCGCUGGUGAACAACCGGCGGGAAUGACGGUACCCCCGAAGGAAGCACCGGCUAACUCUGUGCCAGCAGCCGCGGUAAGACAGAGGGUGCUAGCGUUGUUCGGAAUUACUGGGCGUAAAGGGCGCGUAGGCGGUCUGUUAAGUUCGGUGUGAAAGCCCUCGGCUCAACCGAGGAAGUGCGCCGGAUACUGGCAGACUUGAGUACCGGAGAGGAGGGUGGAAUUCCUGGUGUAGCGGUGAAAUGCGUAGAUAUCAGGAGGAACACCGGUGGCGAAGGCGGCCCUCUGGACGAGUACUGACGCUGAGGCGCGAAAGCGUGGGGAUCAAACAGGAUUAGAUACCCUGGUAGUCCACGCUGUAAACGGUGGGGACUAGGUGUGGGGGGGUAUUGACCCCUCCCGUGCCGACGCUAACGCAUUAAGUCCCCCGCCUGGGGAUUACGGCCGCAAGGUUAAAACUCAAAUGAAUUGACGGG
This 869-nucleotide ribosomal RNA is filed under the name uncultured Actinomycetes bacterium. RNAcentral's name for it is "bacterial SSU rRNA". It matches the Rfam family "Bacterial small subunit ribosomal RNA", at positions 56 to 917 of the family's 1533-position model. The record is from RNAcentral. Lineage: Bacteria; Bacillati; Actinomycetota; Actinomycetes.